This 450-nucleotide ribosomal RNA is filed under the name uncultured Diversispora. RNAcentral's name for it is "SSU rRNA". It matches the Rfam family "Eukaryotic small subunit ribosomal RNA", at positions 569 to 1022 of the family's 1831-position model. Lineage: Eukaryota; Fungi; Glomeromycota; Glomeromycetes; Diversisporales; Diversisporaceae. The record is from RNAcentral.
AGCAGCCGCGGUAAUUCCAGCUCCAAUAGCGUAUAUUAAAGUUGUUGCAGUUAAAAAGCUCGUAGUUGAAUUUCGGGAUUCGUCCAUUGGUCAGGCUUAACUGUCUGUACUGGUGUGUCGGAUUUCUACCUUCUGAAGAACCUUUAUGCCAUUAAUUUGGUGUGUUGGGGAAUCAGGACUGUUACUUUGAAAAAUUAGAGUGUUUAAAGCAGGCUAACGUCUGAAUACAUUAGCAUGGAAUAAUGAAAUAGGACGGUACGGUUCUAUUUUGUUGGUUUCUAGGAUCGCCGUAAUGAUUAAUAGGGAUAGUUGGGGGCAUUAGUAUUCAAUUGUCAGAGGUGAAAUUCUUGGAUUUAUUGAAGACUAACUACUGCGAAAGCAUUUGCCAAGGAUGUUUUCAUUAAUCAAGAACGAAAGUUAGGGGAUCGAAGACGAUCAGAUACCGUCGUA